AAUCGAUUACAGGACAAGUGCUGCCCCGGAGGCUCCGCGACGCGCGCACUCCCUCGCGCCCACCCGCGCGCCCGGCCGCGUCGCCCCCAGCCCGUUGGUCCCCGGACUGCGGACCCCGCCCCCGACGGGGGCCAGGUAACCCGCUUCCGAGUGUGCCACGGCGACCCCCAUCUCCCCUCCCCGUGUCAUAAUAAAUCUCACGUUUUCUGCCGGCUGGAGGCUUGGAGCGUCAAAGGAACGGAUGAGUACAAAAAGUUGCUACCCUUGAAGUGUUACCUAUCACUAUCAACCACAGCUUGUUUAUUUGGAAAGAACUUAAGUGAACCGUCAAGAGAAAAACAAAUGCAUAUUCUUUCUACAAAUAGUAGCAUUUAGUAUCUUUCCUGACCACAUUUGCGAAAAGAGGGAAUAGAGACUUCUAUAAUUAAAGGGAAAAGGAAAAUGAAAGGAGCUGAAAAUAGUGAACUGUGUAGUCUGGAUGGCUGAAAUUUGAAAACACAUGAAAUUAUCAGGACUGCCAAACGGUGUUCCUGAGAAACCAUAUCACAGAUUGUGAAGAAAAUCAAUGCUAGAAGAGUCGGAACAGGCACCGUACUCUUACUCCUUUGAAGAAUCCCAGAAAUAGUUGUUGAGGUUUUUUUUUUCUGCUGAGAAAAAAAGAUAUAUUGGAAAUUAAGUCAUCAACAGUACCUUAAGCACCACUCUGUAGGUAAUUUUGGAUAGUGUCUUUUCUUUACAUUUUGAUAUAGGGAAGGAAUUAAUUCACAUCGACACAAACGAAGUAAUGGAUACCAUAUAACUUGUGUGAUACUGUAGCUUUUAUAAUGAAUUACUUCUUGAAAGUUUUUUUUCCUAUACAAUGUAUUAUUAAACAAUUGUAACGAUAGUCUCUUUUUGUUUAACUAUAGAAAAUGGUAGAUAGUGUGGUACAGCAAACAAGAUUAACAAAUUUUCGUUGGAGAGAAAUUAUUUGGGCUCAGGCUUGCAAUAACAUUAUGAUGAUUUUAAGAAAAAUUGCAGUUCCUGUGAGUUAUAUAUUGAUAAGGCAG
RNAcentral lists this long non-coding RNA (1049 nucleotides) under Homo sapiens (human). RNAcentral describes it as "non-protein coding lnc-SPAG16-7:4". Lineage: Eukaryota; Metazoa; Chordata; Mammalia; Primates; Hominidae. The record is from RNAcentral.